Molecule: ribosomal RNA, 1134 nt
Filed under: Triticum aestivum (bread wheat)
Lineage: Eukaryota; Viridiplantae; Streptophyta; Magnoliopsida; Poales; Poaceae
Description: partial small subunit ribosomal RNA
Source: RNAcentral
GUUGGAGCUUCACCGGCGCAUGGUUGUGCUCAGAGGAGGACCGCCGAUGCCCGCCGCCGCUGUCGUCCACAUGCUCCUCCUCACGACCACGGGUGGACGUUGGCUGAGGUCUAGCCUCCCAUCCAUGCGCAGAUUAUGCAAGAAUCUGCUUGGUCUGCAUAUUAGUACCGACUAGCGAGCACAGGAACGACGACUUGGACCUGACGACUUGGACGUUGGCUGAGGUCUAGCCUCCCAUAUGCAUAUUUGACCAGUACUACAUGCGGCCCGCGAGCAAAGGUCGUCCGGCCAAUUCUGACCCCACCAGUCAUGGAUUCUUAUACCAGCCCAGUAGGGUUGUUCUCCAUCAUCCUCGUGCCCUACUGUAUGUACACUCGCUUAUGUGUUCUUGGAUUCUUAUUUUCUUUCUUUUGUAGGAUCCAUAGGAUUAUUGUUUUCUCUGAAUUUGUCCUUUGGUGCAUUGUGUUUGCUUAUUCAGGUCGAUGGGGAGGAGAGGAGCAGCGAGGCUGGAGCUCCAGACGACGCACAUGUCGCUGGGUGGAGGAGAGGCCAGCUACGGGGCGCUCCUGUCACGAUGUGGUGAGAUGCAAGGGAGGGGUAGGAUGCCGGUGACAGUAGAAGGAGCAGGCCGGUGUAGAGGGCAAGCAGCACAGGAAGAUUAAGAAGGAUAUGAAGCUUUGUAUAGUUUCAUGGAUGGGGUUUGGGUGUCCUCAUGAGAGCAGUUCAGUGCUUGCACCUCUGCAACCUCGCCAACAUGGACAAUCACUGGUCAUGAGUACAGGAUCAAGCCACGGAUAUUUACGGCACGACAUGGAGUAUUUGGUGGAACUAGCUAUGGAAGUGUGUCCCUCCAUGUUGUAGGCAGACCGUGAUAUGGUGAAUUAUUUCUUAGGCACGACACUAUGAGCUCCUGUUUUGCAGCACAUGGAUACUUUUCGGCAUAAAUGUCAUGGGUCCAUGAUGCCUUACGUACCUCUGAACCUAUGACUCUAGAGAUAAUUUAAUAUAUUUCUGGAUUGUUUCGCUCUGGUUACAAAUAUUGUAAGAUCCUCUUUCACUAACACUUUCAAGUUUCAAAUAUUGUCAAAUGGGGUUCACAAUACUAGGUCUUUCUCAAUUCAGAUUCUUAUAUAU